AACGAACGCUGGCGGCAGGCCUAACACAUGCAAGUCGAACGCUCCGCAAGGGGAGUGGCGCACGGGUGAGUAACGCGUGGGAAUCUACCAUAUAGUAAGGGAUAACAGUUGGAAACGACUGCUAAUACCAUAUACGCCCUCCGGGGGAAAGAUUUAUCGCUAUAUGAUGAGCCCGCGUAAGAUUAGCUAGUUGGUGAGGUAAUGGCUCACCAAGGCUACGAUCUUUAGCUGGUCUGAGAGGAUGAUCAGCCACACUGGAACUGAGACACGGUCCAGACUCCUACGGGAGGCAGCAGUGGGGAAUAUUGGACAAUGGGCGCAAGCCUGAUCCAGCCAUGCCGCGUGAAUGAUGAAGGCCUUAGGGUUGUAAAGUUCUUCCGCUAUCGAGGAUAAUGACUGUAGAUAGAUAAGAAGCCCCGGCUAACUUCGUGCCAGCAGCCGCGGUAA
RNAcentral lists this ribosomal RNA (447 nucleotides) under uncultured bacterium. RNAcentral describes it as "partial 16S ribosomal RNA". It matches the Rfam family "Bacterial small subunit ribosomal RNA", at positions 29 to 523 of the family's 1533-position model. The record is from RNAcentral.